GAUGAACGCUGGCGGCGUGCCUAAUACAUGCAAGUCGAGCGAACGGACGAGAAGCUUGCUUCUCUGGUGUUAGCGGCGGACGGGUGAGUAACACGUGGAUAACCUACCUAUAAGACUGGGAUAACUUCGGGAAACCGGAGCUAAUACCGGAUGAUAUUUUGAACCGCAUGGUUCAAAAGUGAAAGACGGUCUUGCUGUCACUUAUAGAUGGAUCCGCGCUGCAUUAGCUAGUUGGUAAGGUAACGGCUUACCAAGGCAACGAUGCAUAGCCGACCUGAGAGAGUGGUCGGCCACACUAGAAAUGAGACACGGUCCAGACUCCUAAGGGAGGCAGCAGUAGGGAAUCUUCCGCAAUGGGCGAAAGCCUGACGGAGCAAAGCCGCGUGAGUGAUGAAGGUCUUCGGAUCGUAAAACUCUGUUAUUAGGGAAGAACAUAUGUGUAAGUAACUGUGCACAUCUUGACGGUACCUAAUCAGAAAGCCACGGCUAACUACGUG
Molecule: ribosomal RNA, 497 nt
Filed under: uncultured bacterium
Lineage: Bacteria
Description: partial 16S ribosomal RNA
Rfam family: Bacterial small subunit ribosomal RNA
Source: RNAcentral